UACGUAGGGUGCGAGCGUUGUCCGGAAUUAUUGGGCGUAAAGGGCUCGUAGGCGGUUUGUCGCGUCGGGAGUGAAAACCCAGGGCUUAACUCUGGGCUUGCUUUCGAUACGGGCAGACUAGAGGUAUGCAGGGGAGAACGGAAUUCCUGGUGUAGCGGUGAAAUGCGCAGAUAUCAGGAGGAACACCGAUGGCGAAGGCAGGUCUCUGGGCCACUACUGACGCUGAGAAGCGAAAGCAUGGGGAGCGAACAGG
Molecule: ribosomal RNA, 253 nt
Filed under: uncultured bacterium
Lineage: Bacteria
Description: partial 16S ribosomal RNA
Rfam family: Bacterial small subunit ribosomal RNA
Source: RNAcentral